RNAcentral lists this ribosomal RNA (459 nucleotides) under uncultured bacterium. Its description in RNAcentral is "partial 16S ribosomal RNA". It matches the Rfam family "Bacterial small subunit ribosomal RNA", at positions 338 to 795 of the family's 1533-position model. The record is from RNAcentral.
CCUACGGGGGACUGCAGUGAGGAAUAUUGGUCAAUGGACGAGAGUCUGAACCAGCCAAGUAGCGUGAAGGAUGACUGCCCUAUGGGUUGUAAACUUCUUUUAUAUGGGAAUAAACUGUUCCACGUGUGGGCUUUUGUAUGUACCAUAUGAAUAAGGAUCGGCUAACUCCGUGCCAGCAGCCGCGGUAAUACGGAGGAUCCGAGCGUUAUCCGGAUUUAUUGGGUUUAAAGGGUGUGUAGGCGGAUUUUUAAGUCAGCGGUAAAAUGUCCGGGCUCAACCCGGGCCGGCCGUUGAAACUGGGGAGCUGGAGUGGGCGAGAAGUAGGCGGAAUGCGUGGGGUAGCGGUGAAAUGCAUAGAUAUCACGCAGAACUCCGAUUGCGAAGGCAGCAUACCGGCGCCCGACUGACGCUGAGGCACGAAAGCGUGGGGAUCGAACAGGAUUAGAUACCCGAGUAGUC